UGGCCACCAAAACUAAAAGGGGAGCUACCAACAUGCUCAUCUCCUUGCGCUCUAAACUAUUCUUCAAUCAAUUUCAUGAAAAUGGAGCUCCACAACCCUUACAUAAAUGAUUCACUCCAAGAAACCUAACGCGACAAUCUCAAAUUAAAUCUUGUCCUUAAUGAUUCAAAGCCCCAGGGAUGGGGGCUAUGAGUCGUCUCCUCACUCUCUACAUACUGGUAACCGAAUUUGAAGAAAAGCGAAAGUUUUCCGAAUUACCUUGCGGGAGUUGGCGAUGGCGAUGAUGAGCUUCCAGGUUGUGCAUCAGAGAUGGAUUGUUGAGUUAUUGAGUGUUGAGGUUGUUGUUGUUAUGCUGCCAGAUUUGGUGCUAUGCCUAGUGGAUAUCUAGCCUUAGACAAUUGUUUCCAUCCAUGUUGAUGACCAUAUUGCAGGGCAUUGCUUAAACAAGACUGCAGGUUUGUUGGCAAAUUGACAUUGAUGCAGUUCAAUUGUGGCUAUUGUAUUGCAGGAUGCUCAUGGUAACAACAAAGCAAUAGUGCUGGACCAAGCUCCAAGAGGCUUCCAUAUCAUGGUAUUGAGGUUUGGGCAUGUUAUGUUGCCAGUCCCAAUGGUUUGGAUGUAGUUCUGCAGUGUGUUCCAACUGGCAUGAACCUGGCAGGUUUGGUGUGAACAUGAACAUGGUUAGUCAAAGCUAACUUGCAAAUGAAGAAGCAUGGCACAAGCAAACCAAUCAUGACCUUUAGAUGAUGAAUCAAGGCAAGGUAUAUUAGAUUAUAUCUUAAGUGGCAAAAAAAGGGAUGAGUUGACUUUGGUCAAAGUUGACCAAAAAGUCAAUGGUUGACCAAAGUGCACA
Long non-coding RNA from Lathyrus oleraceus (garden pea), 853 nucleotides. RefSeq lists it as uncharacterized. NCBI's taxonomy places the organism in Eukaryota, Viridiplantae, Streptophyta, Magnoliopsida, Fabales, Fabaceae. The transcript has 4 exons. The record is from RefSeq and is a predicted model, not a curated record.